GCCUGUAGUCACACCACCCUGAAUGCACCCAAGUUCAUCUGGUCUCAGAAGCUAAGCAGGGUCAGCUCUAGUCAGUACCUGGAUGGUAGAAUUUUUGCCACAUUUUAUAGAACUGAAACUGAGUCUGGAGGAG
This 133-nucleotide ribosomal RNA is filed under the name Nannospalax galili (Upper Galilee mountains blind mole rat). The record is from RNAcentral. Lineage: Eukaryota; Metazoa; Chordata; Mammalia; Rodentia; Spalacidae.